CGGGAGGCCNCAGUGGGGAAUUUUGNANAANGGGNNCANCCGUGNUCCAGNCANCCCGUGUGAGUGAANAAGCCNUUCGGNUNUUAAAGUUUNUUNGNNNGGGAAGAAAUCUCCGGGNUUAAUACCCUCGGAGUUUGACGGUACCAUCAGAAGAAGCACCGGCUAACUCCGUGCCAGCAGCCGCGGUAAUACGUAGGGUGCAAGCGUUUUUCGGAUUUACUGGGUGUAAAGGGUGCGCAGGCGGCUUUNUAAGUCAGAGGUGAAAUAUCCCGGCUCAACCGNCGAACUGCCUUUGAAACUGCCUGGCUUGAGUCCGGGAGAGGGAGGUGGAAUUCCUGGUGUAGCGGUGAAAUGCGUAAAUAUCUGGAGGAACACCAGUGGCGAAGGCGGCCUCCUGGCCCGGUACUGACGCUCAGGCACGAAAGCCAGGGGAGCGAACAGGAUUAGAUACCCCGGUAGUCCUCGCCCUAAACGAUGGGCACUAGGUGUUGGGGGCAUCUACCCCUUCAGUGCCGCAGCUAACGCAUUAAGUGCCCCGCCUGG
This 543-nucleotide ribosomal RNA is filed under the name uncultured bacterium. RNAcentral's name for it is "partial 16S ribosomal RNA". It matches the Rfam family "Bacterial small subunit ribosomal RNA", at positions 342 to 876 of the family's 1533-position model. The record is from RNAcentral.